Molecule: long non-coding RNA, 1368 nt
Organism: Benincasa hispida (wax gourd)
Lineage: Eukaryota; Viridiplantae; Streptophyta; Magnoliopsida; Cucurbitales; Cucurbitaceae
Source: RefSeq, a predicted model, not a curated record
CAAUUUGUCCCGUCUUUUGGUUCAUUUGCUUUAGAGAGAAAAAGUCUCUUUGCAUUUUCUACCUUCCUUAUCUUCGUUCCAUGUCACUAAGAAACAUGUUCAAUUUAAAGCAAAAAAAAUUGGGAAACAAGAAAUUCUUAACUUCAAUUUCGAUCAAAUCCAUAUGUUUACAAAUUUGUGGGAAUUGGAUGCUGUCAAUUUAACAGUUCAGAGAUGCAAUAUCAAAUUGAAUCUACUUCCAUUGUCUCUGCAGACAGCAUGAAAAACAAAUAGUUUCUGCUCUAGAAAUUCUAGAGACUUGAAAUUUUUUUGAUGAAGUGCUGCAUGUGAUAGAAAUUUAGCACCUUUUUAUGUAUUUAAUUAGCGAUCACAUUGCUUGCACUGGCAGACCUGCCAUUUUAUCUCUGGGCUCUGCUAGAAGGGAUUUCUUUUUUUAAAAAAAAAUAUAUAUAUAUUAAUUUAAAAAAAAAAAAAAAAAAAAAAAACUCAGAUCUUUUUCAUCCACACACACACACUCUCUCUGGAUACAAUUUAACACGUAAACUUUAAAUCAAAAUAUAAUUGAAAGAAUUACAAUUUACAUGAAUAAUUAACUGAUUAAAUGCAAAUAAAAACACACAAAAAUGAUAAAACUCCAUUUCUUUCUUCAUUUUGUAAUCUACUUGUAUUGGAGAAUUUUCAUUUUGAUUUAGUGAGGAUUUCGAUUUGUUUUGCAGGUAAUUUCAUACCUCAAUAGGAUUUGUUCCUUCCAUCAUAUAUAAGCAACGAAGCCAUGGGAUUUCUGGUUAGCUUUGUCAUCAUAAAUCAUGUUUGCAUCUGCAGCCUCUCACCAAUCUUAAAAGGGUUCUUUUGACAAAAUCCACAAAUGAGCCCAAUGGAAGCAGCCCAGUCUGGGAAAAACCUAAAGCUUCCCUAAAAUUAAGGGCCAUAUUGAGAUUUGUGACAUUUGUUGGCCACGUGACCUCUCAUGGCAGACAUGUGACAUUUUCCAUCGGUUUCGUAUUAAAUCUGGUUAGCUGAAAAUUGAAUACGCAAAAAAGGGCAGCGAAAGGGGCCAAUGGGUGGCACUUAAUAAUGGCCACUUGUAGCCGUCUACACCUAACUUGCGCAGCACAAUUCUGGACACUAGCGUUGUGACCGUGAGUCGUCUUGCUAUUUUUAGAUUUAUACUUUCAAUAUUAUUUAUUACUAAAAUUAGGCCUACCAAUUUUUAGGAUUCUAUUUAAACAAUCCUAAAAAUAAAAUUAGGCCUAAUCAUUCUGGAGAACUGCAUUUUGCCUAUUUUAGUUGCGAUGGUUUAAAUGUAUAGCAAUAUUUUUUAACAAUUAUAAAUAUAGCAAAAUUUAUAAGUAAAUAUUCUAAGGCUAA